Molecule: long non-coding RNA, 1362 nt
Organism: Bufo gargarizans (Asiatic toad)
Lineage: Eukaryota; Metazoa; Chordata; Amphibia; Anura; Bufonidae
Exons: 2
Source: RefSeq, a predicted model, not a curated record
AAUUAUUGGUCUAAUUGGACAGAAAUUGGUGACAUAAUCUGAUGGUAUAAAUGCACUAUUCUGACCACUCCUUAUCUACUGGUCCCUGGUCCACUAUGAUGGUCUUCAGUCUGAGAGCGGGCAGAAUGCAGUUUCUGGCAACAGCCAUGCUCUGAAGCAGAUGUCACCGCAACGGGAGGGACGGAGGACGAGCCUGUCUGCGCAGAGGGUCACCAAAUGUUAUUACAUGUUAGAUAUAUUUUAUGUAAUUCAAUUAUUUAUUUUAAAAAAAAGGUGUAUUUUUGAUUUUAAAAAAAGUAAUAUAUUUUUUUUUUUAAAUAGCACAUAAGGACUUUUAGAUUUAGUUUACAAUAACCAGAGGUCGCAAUAACACCUGUACAAGCGUCGCCUGUUCAGGCCAUUUUACUACCUGGAAAAAGUCUAAGACGAACCAAUACACCUUAGACUUUUCCCUGCUUUUCAUCAGCAUGAGGCGCUAUGAACGGCACAGGCAGCACAGCGAUGCUGCCUGCAGUAACCAAUAGCAAAGCUCCAGACAGCAAGAAGCUUUGCUAUUGGUUAGUAUGGGCAGGCGCAGGAGCGAUACAGGUCCUGCAUCAGGGGAAGCCGGCGGGCGCUGGAAGGAGGAGGGGCUGGCUCCCGGGGGAUGUUUGAAUAUGGAGUGCCGGGCGCGCUGCACAAGGACCCUGGCGGCUGUGGAGCUAAAGACUGGGCCCUGACAUGAAGGACACAGAACAAGGUGACAGCAGUGUGUAACGUAACGAUGUGUGUGAUGUAUGUAGUGCAGUGUGUGAUCAUCACACACAUGUAUACAUCACACGCUGUCCUACAUACAUCACACGCUGUCCUACAUACAUCACACGCUGUCCUACAUGCAUCACACGCUGUACUACAUGCAUCACACGCUGUACUACAUACAUCACACGCUGUACUACAUACAUCACACGCUGUACUACAUGCAUCACACGCUGUACUACAUGCAUCACACGCUGUACUACAUGCAUCACACGCUGUACUACAUGCAUCACACGCUGUACUACAUGCAUCACACGCUGUACUACAUGCAUCACACGCUGUACUACAUGCAUCACACGCUGUACUACAUGCAUCACACGCUGUACUACAUGCAUCACACGCUGUACUACAUGCAUCACACGCUGUACUGUAGUAAAUGCAGAUGGGCUAUUAUAGCCGAGUGGUAAAGUAGAGGGAAUUAUUUCUAUUGUUCUGCUCAUCUAAUGGAGCAGAACAACGAAAAUAAUGGAAGCGCUGGAUCGGGCAUGUAAGGGUUUUUGUCAUACGAUCAGGACUCUGCAGGAUGGGAAAGUGGAGUAUAGUUUUUUCCAUCCUGCAAAGUCCAAC